RNAcentral lists this long non-coding RNA (10401 nucleotides) under Vigna radiata. Its description in RNAcentral is "long non-coding RNA (VRAD_LNC005232)". Lineage: Eukaryota; Viridiplantae; Streptophyta; Magnoliopsida; Fabales; Fabaceae. The record is from RNAcentral.
UCGAGGUCAUGUAAUUCCUAAAAUGAAAAAAAUUAUGCACGUAAGGUCAAUCAUGCCAAUGCAUUGAAAAUGUAAAUCAAGAACUAUUCCUAAACCCAAUAUCAAACAAGCUAGAAAGCAUAGAAGAAUGGAAGUUAAAGGAACAAGAAUAAAUUUAUCCAGAUGCAAUUUAGACAACGAAAUUGGAACAAAAGAGAUAUAAAUCUUGCAAGAAAGUUAAAAGAAAGUAGUAACACUAAUUCUAAUUUGCAAGACCAAAGAACAAAUAUAAAAAUUGAAACUGAAAUCAGAGAAAAAGAACAUUUCCCAUGAGCUAUUACCGUGAAAGCAAGGCAAUAAAUCCAAAGAGAAUAGCACUUGCUUUUGAAAUCCAAAGAGAAUAGCACUUGUUUGGUAGGUUCAAAACAGGACUAAUCCAAAUAGCAUUGGCAUAAACUAAUUGCCCCAUAAACUAUUGUUACGUAUGGUAUAAAGAAAAUGGGCUAACCUUACAUACAUACACCAUAAUAUGCAUUAGUUUAUUUUUUGGAAGGAAGGGAGAUAUGGCUUUCGUAACAAUUUUGCACGUCAGUUUUUUUUUUUUUUUUUUUUUUUUUUUUUUUUUUUUUAUCAAGCAAGAGAUCAGGUCCCAAGCAUUAACAUACAACAAAAGAGUAAAAUGGAAUCUGUACAUUUUUCUGGAAAGUGCCGAACCAAGACUGCUGAAAUCAGAAUAUUCAAGCUUAACACAACGUUUGGUUUGAUCCAAUGAUACUACAGGUCACUAGGAUUCCAUAGAAGGGAAAAGUAUGGUGCAAUAUUAAAUAAAAACCAGUAGCCUUUAUUCAAUCAAAGGAACUUGAAAUGAGUGGAACGGUUCCACAAAACCAUAAGCAUAAAAGGAAAUGGUUCAAUAAUUAAGUCCAUUAAGAUUUAUAUUACAUGCCAAGACAAACAUAAUUUUGGAAGUAUGAUUAGAAUGUACCUGACUUGUGAUCCUAAUUCUCUAUUUAUAGAUCAUCAUAAGCUCAAUAAAAUAUAAACAGAAUUAGUAUAAAAACAACCAAAUGAACAAAACCGACCUUACCUGCCUAUCUUUACCUGUGUAUCUGGUCUUACAUCUGUUUGUAUAUUCUUCAUAUUAGAUAUUCUCGAAUCAUUUUACCGUUAUUUGGGCUUUUGGUCCAUUUAGACAAUCACGGGCCCAAUUGCGACUUUUCCUGCACUAUUUUAUUUCGUGUUGACUUUGACUGGACCGUUCAGUUUUACUAGAUAAUCAUUUGGUCGUAAUAUCAUACCGUACAUCAUCCCCCAAGUCCGAGUUAACCGUUCGGCUCCUUUGUUAGGUUAACUGUAGGACUUUGAAGUGGUUCUGAUAAUGAGGUGUCCUUUCUACGCACCGUUUUGUGAUGUCGUUUCAUUUCCAAGUAAUAAUUUAGCUUUUCCCGCCUUUGGGAUAGUGGCAGAGUCGCGAGAACGGAACCAUUAGAUCUUCCUUAUCUAACGGUGCAAAUUUCAUAGCGGUCAUGUCAGCUUUCCACAUUAAUGCAAUGGGCUUUUUGAAAAGACUCUGGUUACCCAAACCGUCAUUUUUGUGCCUUCACUCGCCGAGAGCCUUUCGAACUCCUUUCAACCUUUGCAAGCAUUUCCAACUACUCAUUUUCUUUCAGGUAACCAUGGCUUGCCUUGCUUAUUUAGAUUGUCCUUCGUCACUUGUUGAGGAAAGAGGGUGCGGGGACUUGACUGGUGCAUCGGGGAGUUCUCAAGCUGAGGUCGCCAAUGUUAUUUCUUCGGUGCUUAGUGGAGAGAGGGCCUUCGUUUAUGGUGGUGUCGCCGUUAAGGAUCCUGAGAACCUUUUUUCUUCUUCCUUUGUUGAUUAUGAGUGGGCUUCACACGACGUAAGUGAAUACCCUAGUGUUUUCGUUAGUAAAGCCGUUUUGUUUAAUGAUUAUUAAAAUAUAUAAUAACUACCUAUUUUCACCAAUUUUUUUCUUUUCUUCUUUUUUUUAAUUUCAAAAUUAAGUAAACUUAAUUUCUUUUUAAAAUUAUUAAAUACCAAACAAAUAUGAUUCCUCUGAAUAAAAAAUUGAUACCAUAGAACAAAAGCCCCUGAGUAGGAAGGAAUUUAGAAAAACAAAUUGAGAAACAAUUGUAUGUUACAACAAGAUAGGCUAGAAGUCAAUGUAAUCUCAUUGCAAAAAUAGUUACAAAGAAAGAAAUGUUACCCAAUUCAUAAUAAACUAGGUAUAGUUUUAUCCUAAAACAAUAUCAUAAACUUCCUAAAGAUUACUUCCAUCAGAUGAUUGUCUUGUUCGCAAAGGAGACUCUGACUCAUUUGCAUAACGAGCUUGCUGAAAUAAUAUAAAACAUAUUAAUAAAAUAAAAUCAAUUACAUGUGCUCACAUUUUGAAAAUAAUAUAUAAAAAAUCAAUCAAAUAGAAUAAACAUGUUCUAUCAAUCAAAUAGAAUAAACAUAUUCUGUCAAAUAGAAUAAACAAUAGAAUACAAGUUAAAGUAGUGACAAUCUCUGGGCCCAAUGUUUGUUAAUAUUAGAACUGCAAUCAGACCAAACCCAUAAAAAAGGGGUUUCCAAAAAGAACAUAUACAUGACCUAUCCUUGUGUUGUGUCCCAUAUACGUUUAUCAGUAUUGGUGUUCUGUCCCACGACUUGCAGAAACCAUGGUCAGACAGUGUUUGUGAUGAACAAUACACUAAUAGAAUCAUUUCAGACUUUUAAUCAAGUUUGGAAUAUCUAUAUGCAUAUUAAACUACUGCAGUUACUACUUUACACCAUAUAUAAAAUGCAAUGGACCAGUACUUCUCACACUAUGCAUAUAAAUCUUACUGCAACAAUCAAUAAAGCUAACUACAACACAGAUACAGACAACAACAACCUAAUUCUCACACUAUGCAUAUAAAUCUUACUGCAACUAGGGGUGGGCAAACUGCAAUAUCUAUACUGUAUUAUAUCCAAAUUAUAAUUAACUAUAAAAUAAUUUAAAGAAACUGAAUUGAACUAAAAAUUAGUUCAGAGAAACUGAUCUGAACUUAAUUUUAGUGCAGUUCAUGCAGUACAAUUCAGUAAACUGCUUAAGAUCAAAGCCACAUUUUUCAUCACACGCUGGACCGUCCUCCUCUGGAUCCUCUCCUGUUCCCCUGUCACGCGGUCUCCCAGCACCUCCCCUUCUCCGACCACCUCCUCCUCCCCCGCCGCGCCCGCCUCUUCUCCGCCCACUCCCUCGCUGACGUCCAGUUUUUCCUCGACUACUCUCUCUUCGGCGACGGCCUCCCGCCCUCACCCUCUCCCCCCGCCGGCAACUCCAUCGACUCCUUCUGGAACUCAGGUGCGUCCUCCUCCGGUUCCCGCUCCACGGUGUCGUUUUGCGUUUUGCGUUUUGUUCCCCCUUUUCUCCUUCGUUCUUCCACUGCUCCUAGGCCAAGGUUUUUCAAUCUCUUUUGAAAGGGAAAUGGAAAAGCGUAUUCUCUUUCCAACGAGAAGCGUAGGAUGGUGGAAGAGGCUUCAACAGUGCGGUGACGGUAGAGUGUGGCGACGACAGAGUGCGACGACAGCAGAGUGCGGUGACAACAGAGUGUGGCAACGGCAAAGUGUGGCAAAGCCUUCCGCGGCGAGUCUUCGACAAUAGUGCGACAGUCUUCAACGGAGAUAGGAAAUAGAAAAACCGAACUCUAAUUGAGAAAAAUAGAAAAAUUGAUCCACAGUUAACUGAACUCAAAAUAAAAAAAAGUUCAGUAACUUUAAACUGAACUAUUAAUCAGUAUAAAUAGUUUUAAGUAAAAGUAGUUUAAGUUUUUUAAGUUUAAAAAAGUACAGAUAAACUGUAGUUUAAGUUUUUAACUUAACUGUGCCCAGCCCUAACUGCAACCAUCGUACUUAGAACUUAUCAACAUCUGUAAACUGAUUUCCUAUAUUCAAUUGCAUGUGCUCACAGUAAACAGGUAUACAUUUCUAUCAAACUAAUAGAAAUAAUAUUUUGUACGUUACUGUUAGGGAUCAAUAACAGUUGUCAAUAGACUAAGCUUAACCACACAAAGAAAUUAAUAAUCUAGCUAUGAAUGAUUUAUGAUAUCAAUUGGAAUCUUUAGGAAGUACGACAACUUCCUAAAGACAUUAAUAAUCUAGCUAUGAAUGAUCAGUAAGAGCGAUAACUAACUACUCCGGUUAUGUUUUUAGAUAUCAUGUAUCCAUCUCGUAUUCAUGACUUCCUAUUUAAUCAUAACUUCAUAUUUAGUUAUCUCUCACACGUCUCGUAGACUCAUGCUUAGAAUUAAUUCUUCUUUAUUUAAAUGUUAAAUGGCUUUCUGGUAGUAAACUAAGGAAAAAAUGUGAAACAAAACAGUGUAUUCAAAUUAUAAUCAGACUCUCCUUGGCCACAACCAAAUGAAUUUUGAAAUAAAAAAUGUAGAAAAUUACAUCAGACUCUCCAUGGUCCAACAUAAGUUUUGGACUCUUUUUUCCAUCUUUUAAACCAUUUUUGGCAAUGCAGCAGUGGUGUUCCAAAACUACAACUUAUACGCACGCAAACCAAACGAAAUUCAGAAGAACUUGUUCACUGCGCAAGGCAGAGAGGAUACUAACAAAAAUCACCUAUUGGGUAAAAUACUAAAAUAGAAUCAAUCUAAACUUGCAAAAACUAGCAUCACAAUAAUUGACAAAUGCCAAAUCCAGAUUCAGAAUUAAACUCGGUAACCAAAGAUGUAAGUACCUAAACUACACUAACACAUAUCUGUCAAUGAUCUAAUAACUGAAAAUUAACUUUGUAAAAUUUACAAGUUCAUCUCAUGCAAUCAGAUUCAAGAAAAUCAAUUCUGAAAUAACAAUCGCACAUAUGAAUGAUAAUCUAUGCCAUCCAGCCAAAUACAUUGCACAUAUGAAUGAGUUAGGAUCUUAUUACCUUUCCAAAUGAGAGAACGAGCUAAUAAAGAGUCACAAUUCAGAUUGUAAUACUUAAAAGAGAAACCUGCAACAUCAAUUAAGUAGUGUUUUGUUAUGGCAAUAAAAAUCAUACUUUUGCGCAACAAAAAUUCGCUGAUAAAUGUAUAUUAUUACUAUGUCAUCAUUACUAUUUGCAUCUUGAUUUUGAAAAGUCUACAAGUCUAAAAGAAACUAAAGAGAAAGAUCCAACAUUUGGGCCAUCAUCAUUGAAUUCCAUCGUCUUUAUAUUACCUGUCCUUGACGCAUGUGUUUCCAAUCCAAUUAUCCUCACCUAUGCGAACAUCACUAUCAAUUUUUUCAUACAGUGCUUAUGUAUCAAUAGGACUCGGUCUGAAUGUGAUUAAGGAGUUCUAUGUUUAAAUAAUACUUUUGUUUUUCAGUAAACAAAUAUUAUUAAAAUGAAAACAAAAAAAUAAAAUAAAAAUGAUAGGAGGACAAGAUACACCCAGGCAACAAAGACGAAAAUGAAAAGACUUGAGAUACAGAGGUCAUUACCACAUUCAAUCUGGAUAAAGAGAAUUAAUAAUAUUUUUAAUAAAACUAGUAUAAUUCUUUAAUGAACUUGACGUAUCCAGUUGAAAGAUUGGAUGAAAUAGAGAAAACAGUUUAUGCAGUAGCAGUACAACAUUAUCAUAACAAUUUGUGAUGCUUGAUAAUUUUGUUGACUUUAAUAAUCACUACAUCAAAAUUCAUACCUACCAUCACUUCUGAUUGAUUACCAGAGUAAGAGUUUUUACAUUGACAGUGCUUAGAAAUUAAACUAAUGAAACUAAAAAGACAAUAUACUUGCUAAUUAAUUGAUAAAAUAUUAAUAUACCACUCACCUUCAUUCAGUGUGUGAUACAACCUAAGAACAUCUACACCAGAAUAGAAAGCUCUGCCACAACCCUUCAAAGCAUUCAAUAUAGAAACUCAAACUCAACAGAAUACCAAUUCCAUAAACAUAGUAAAAAGAAAAUUAUUAUGAAUUACAAUAUAAUUAUGUCAUUUAGUUCAAUGGUAACUUAGUGGCGUGAAAANAACAGUGAUACCUUCAUCAAAACAAAUCCAAUGUNAGAGUAAUCUAAGGNCCAAAUAAAUAAUGAGGUGUUUUAAAAUUGUAACUUGAAAAGGCAAGCUAGCUCUCAACCACUGUGAGAUCUCAUUUGAAAGAGGUUUUAAAAUUGUAACCUGGAAGAGGAAACCUAGGUUUAAUGACGGUAAACCCUAGCGAUGAUGAGCGAUGACGCACAAUGGAGGACUUCAUGGCGACUGCAACUGACAACGCAACGGUGAGCGCAACGACGACCAUAGCAGCAACCACAACGACGACUGCAACUGAGGACUCCAUGGCGACUGCAACAGACGACGCAGCGGCGAGGACAACGACGACCGUAGUGGCGAGCAAUGGCGACCGCAGCGGUGAGGCAAUUGUAAGCGCAGCAGAGACGGUACGACGACCGCAACGACGAAGACGUUGAACCGUAGAUCGACGCUACCUAACGAGACCUAAAAAUGAUGAUGAUUUGAGUACGAACUGAGUUGUUUGCAGGGGAAAAACGAAAACCUUGCACGAGUUUAGGGAAAGCAAAGAAAAUGUGAGGGUUUGGAAAAUUUUAGGGAAAAGAAAUGCAACUUUCGAUUUUGAAAAGGGGGAAAGUAUGAGAGGGAAGAUAGAUUUGGAAAAUUUUGGAUACAGAGGGAAGUUAGAAACUGAAAAAUUGUAUUUUAAAUUUUAGAUGACAUAAACCUCCUCCAAAUAAUAUUAAAACCCCCCACAAUCAGGACUUAAUUAAAUCCUUUUAAUUAUUUUAAAUAAUUUUAAUUUGCGGAGGGUUUUUAUAACCCCCACAAUAUAACCUCUGCCUAAUAAUAUUUUAUUUGUAGUGAUGAAAGAGUUUUCCAUGGUAGAGAGAGCUCAGGGGGGAAUUUUUUCUAUUUCUAUUAGUGCAUGUUCUUUGAUAUUUAUCUUAGGUUACCCUUCACCGCUUUCCAAAUGAACAUUUUGAGAACCUUAAAUGUAGUCCCUACGCAGCUUCAUCCGAAUAGUUGGAGUUACAUUCAGGCGUUCGCCGUCAUGUGUCAAACCUUGGCUAUCAGACCGACGGUCGCUUUAUUUCUUUACUUCUUUAGGACACGUCCUAAUGCCAAGAGGGGUUGGAUGUCCUUGAGUUCCGAACCUAGGAACGCAAUUUUAAAACUGUUCACGAGUCUUUCAAAGACUUCAAAAAUCAAUUUUUUAAAGUUUCUAUCACCGAGUUGGGCCGUCCUUUCUUCUUUCAUGAGGAUGAUAGCCCUAGGUUCCCCUUAUAUUGGACCCAAGAACCCCGUACGAUGACAUCUUGGCCCAAGGAAAAGAUGACUGACGCUGAUUGGAGGCCUUAGGUGUAUUGGUUGAGUUACCCCGCCCGUUUUCCUCUCGAAAGAUAAUCAACUGUCUUGAGCAUGAUGAUGUCAAUUCGAGGGUGUUUGGUAUGUUCUUUUAUUGGUUGAUAGCAUAGUAUAAGCCAAAGCAAUCAGUAAAAGAACAUACCAAACACCCUCGAAUUGACAUCAUCAUGCUCAAGACAGUUGAAUAUCUUCCGAGAGGAAAACGGGCGGGGUAACUCAACCAAUAAGGAGCGUCGGUCAUCUUUUCCUUGGGCCAAGAUGUCAUCAUACGGGGUUCUUGGAUCCAAUAUAAGGGGAACCUAGGGCUACCAUCCUCAUGAAAGAAGAAAGGACGGCCUAACUCGGUGAUAGAAACUUUAAAAAAUUGAUUUUUGAAGUUUUUGAAAGACUCGGUGAAUAGUUUUAAAAUUGCGUUCCUAGGUUCGAAACUCAAGGACACCCAACCCCUCUUGGAGUUAGGACGUGUCCUAAAGAAGUAAAGAAAUAAAGCGACCGUCGGUCUGAUAGCCAAGGUCUGACACAUGACGGCGAACGCCUGAAUGUAACCCCAAUUGUUCGGAUGAAGCUGCGUAGGGGCUACAUUCAGGGUUCUCAAACCGUCCAUUUGGAAAGCGGUGAAGGGUAACCUAAGAUACAUAUCAAAGAACAGGCACGAAUAGAAAUAGAAAAAACCCCCCGGAGUUCUCUCUACCGUGAAAAACUCUUUCAUCUUCCCUACAAACAAUCAAUUUCACAGCAGAACCAUAACCUAGGGUUCUGAGGACACAUCUAUUGUUCGCCCAAUCUAAUAAAACGACUUUACUAAUGAAAACACUAGGGUAUUCACUUACGUCGUGUGAAGCCCACUCAUAAUCAACAAAGGAAGAAGAAAAAAGGUUCUCGAAACGACGACACCACCAUAAACGAAGACCCUCUUUCCAUUAAGCACCGAAGAAAUAACCUUGGCGACCUCAGCUUGAGAACUCCCUGAUGCACCAGUCGGGUCCCCGCGCCUUCUUUCCUCAGCAAGUGACGAAGGACAAUUUAAAUUAGCAAGGGAAGCCAUGGUUACCUGAAAGAAAAGGGGUACUUGGAAAUGCUUGCAAAGGUUGAGAGGAGUUCAAAAGGCUCUCGGCGAGUGAAGGCACAAAAAUGACGGUUAGGGUAACUAGAGUCUUUUCAAAAAGCCCAUUGCAUUAAUGGGAAAUACUAACAUAAUUGCUAUGAAAUUUGCAACGUUAGAUAAGGAAGAUCUAACGGUUCCGUUCUCGCGACUCUACCACUACCCCAAAGGCGGGAAAAGCUAAAUUAUUACUUGGAAAUGAAACGACAUCACAAAACGGUGCGUAGAAAGGACACCUCAUUAUCAGAACCACUUCAAAGUCCUACAGCUAACCUAACAAAGGAGGCGAACGGUUAACUCGGACUUGGGGGGAUGAUGUAUGGUAUGAUAUUACGACCGAACGAUUAUCUAGUAAAACCGAGCGGUCCAGUCAAAGUCAAUACGAAAUAAAAUAGGGCAGGAAAAGUCACGAAUGGGCCCGUGAUUGUCUAAAAAGGCCAAAAGCCCAAAUAACGGUAAAAUGAUUCGGGAAUAUCUAAUAUGGAGAAUAUACAAACAUAUUUAAGACCGGAUACACAGGUAAAGAUAGGUAGGUAAGUUCAGUUUUGUUCAUUUGGUUAUUUUUAUACUAAUUCUGUUUAUAUUUUAUUGAGCUUAUGAUAAUCUAUAAAUAAAGAGCCAGGGGCACAAGGCAGGUACGUUCUAAUCAUACUUCCAAUUCACGUUCUAUUUAUUCAAACAUUAGCCCUACUCUCUACUUUCAUAUACUAAGAAUAAUCAAAUUAAGAAUCGAGGUUCUUCUACUACACGCCUACCUUGGGCGUCCGAGUGCCAUUGCAGAUACCUCCCCCCUCCAAUCAAAGAUCGAAGUCUACUGAACGGUCAAGGCUAAAGGAAAACGAGCAGUUGAGAUUUAGGAAAAGCGAGCAAUUCAAUCAAUCAAAGCGUGAGAAAGCUAGAAAGUCGUGUCCACCAGGUCAGUCUCUUUCUAUCUAUUGUUGAAUUUUAUUUCCAACAUCAUCUAGCUCACAUCUUAUCAAUAAUUUUUAUAUGGCAAGGCAACAAUAUAAGCCAAGCAACAACAUUGUCAUACAAGAAUCAUUUUACAGAUCAAACAUUGUAAGUAUUCACACAUAGAUUAGCUCCCCUACAUACAAUCUCUUUUAACACAGUACAUAUAUAAUAGAUCAAACAUUACCAGGCAUUCAUUCCAUCCAGACAUAGAUUAGCUCCCCUACACACAAUCCUUUUUAACAUACAUUCAAGUAUAUCAUCAACUCAUACAAACAAUUCUUUUUAACAUAUAAUCACGCAUAUCAUUCCUACAACAGAGCAUGUCCCAUAUACUUCCAGUUUUAGAUUAUUGCAAACUAUCACUACAACCCAAUAACAUCACCAAAACACACAGUAUUUCAGAUAUUAUUAUAUUAAACAAGCCAACAGUUAACACAACAAUUCAGAUAUUAACAAGCCAAUAUUGGUUUAGCUCCCCAUACCUAAAUUUUGAUUCCUCUUCACAAGUAACACAUACUACCACCGAACCCCGUCACUCUCUCAGCCCUCUCUUUCACUCUUAGGUUUCUCAACAUGCUUGAUUGGAUGUCUCUAUUCUUCCUUCUUCCGCCCCUUUUUCAGGUUUCAUUUAAAGCCCCAAUUUGGAUCCUCGAAACACUAAAAUCAUGAUCAGCAUCCUCUGAUUCCAUCUUCCCCUUUUUAAUACUCUUAUUUUGUUUCUCUUUGAAUCAUUGAAUGCUUCCUCAGGCUGUUAUGCUCCUCCUGACCUUAGGAUUUACAAAACCAAAAAGAAAAUAGAAGAAAGAGAAGAGAGAAGUAGUAUCGGAAGAGACGUGAAAGUGCAGAGUGGACGGAAGAUGGAAAACAAGUGAUGAAGGCGCCACGAAAUAAAUUAGGGCAGGCUGGGAAAUAUUAAUACUUACCGAUGGUUUGAUAAAAUAACUGCCGGAAAUAUCUUCAAAAAAUUAAAAAAUAAAAUAUAUUUUAGUUGCCUUUUGACUUGAAACCGCCGAAAAAUUUAAAGAAAAAUAAUAAUAAAAAA